AUGGGUGUUGGCUCCAACAAUUCUCAUUGGUAUCAAACCAAUGGCAUGCAUUUCGAUGAUCAUGAGUUUGAGGUGGACGAGGAUGGUGAGGGCAUCGUCGACGCACCGAAAGGAAGAGGAGGAAACUACACCAAUGAUGAAGACAUCUUGCUAUGCAAUACUUGGUUGCAAGUGUUGAGGGAUCCCUCCGUUGGAGGUGAUCAAAGUAGAGUGGCGGUGGCAUUGGCGGCAUGGGAGGCAUUAGUGGCUUCGGAGCUACCAUGGGCGGCAUGGGUGCCAUGGGUGGCUUUGGAGCUACCAUGGAGACCAUGGGAGGCAUGGGAGCACCUCCGGGCGGCAUGGGCGGAAUGUCUUCCCAUGUGCCACACACACCUUCGCAUGAUGCAGUUGAAAAUCUUGCCAACACCUUCCGAGCUUCACAUGAUGCUGCGGCGCGCGACAAUGAAGAGGAGGAGGAAGAAUCGUCUUCGGAUGAUGAAUCCAAGGAAGAGGAAGAGGAAGAUGAAAAAGAGGAAAAGGCUUGAUUGUUGA
Molecule: ribosomal RNA, 531 nt
Filed under: Triticum aestivum (bread wheat)
Lineage: Eukaryota; Viridiplantae; Streptophyta; Magnoliopsida; Poales; Poaceae
Description: partial small subunit ribosomal RNA
Source: RNAcentral